CCCUUAGAUGUCCGGGGCCGCACGCGCGCUACACUGAAGGAAUCAGCGUGGCUUUCUCCCUGACCCGAAAGGGUUGGGAAACCCGUUGAAUCUCCUUCGUGAUAGGGAUUGGGGCUUGAAAUUGUUCCUCAUGAACGAGGAAUUCCCAGUAAGCGCGAGUCAUAAGCUCGCGUUGAUUACGUCCCUGCCCUUUGUACACACCGCCCGUCGCUACUACCGAUUGAACGGUUUAGUGAGGGCCUCGGAUUGGUCUCGGCCCGCUCUUUACCGGGCGGCGCCGUUGGUCGAGAAGACGCUCGAACUUGAUUGUUUAGAGGAAGUAAAAGUCGUAACA
This 334-nucleotide ribosomal RNA is filed under the name uncultured eukaryote. RNAcentral's name for it is "partial 18S ribosomal RNA". It matches the Rfam family "Eukaryotic small subunit ribosomal RNA", at positions 1470 to 1796 of the family's 1831-position model. The record is from RNAcentral.